This 244-nucleotide non-coding RNA is filed under the name Fructobacillus fructosus. Its description in RNAcentral is "T-box sequence". It matches the Rfam family "T-box leader". Rfam says of the family: Uncharged tRNA acts as the effector for transcription antitermination of genes in the T-box leader family. T-boxes are found upstream of many aminoacyl-tRNA synthetase genes and some amino acid biosynthetic genes usually in Gram-positive bacteria. The anticodon of a specific tRNA base pairs to a specifier sequence within the T-box motif, and the NCCA acceptor tail of the tRNA base pairs to a conserved bulge in the T-box antiterminator hairpin. Lineage: Bacteria; Bacillati; Bacillota; Bacilli; Lactobacillales; Lactobacillaceae. The record is from RNAcentral.
UAACAAACGGUGAUGGGAAAAGUAAAAGGUGGAUGCUUUACAGAAAACCAGCGGUGAUGGAAGCUGGUAAGAAGAAACCUUUGAAGAUGGUCCUUGAGUUUUGUACCGGUGAGCUUCGAGUCAGCCGGUACCGGGUGCGCCCGUUAAGGCGUUAGGGUAUCUCUUGUAUGGGCGUACCUGUUGAGUAAUUAGUAGUGAUGCUGAUUAAAAUCAGGGUGGUAACACGAUUUCGAUUGUCCCGUAG